AAGGAAUUUCUGGAAAAGGUUCACGUGAUUUUUAACAUUCUCUGCUGAUCUCAAUGAAAAGGCCUUUAUCUCAUACACCCUCAGAAGCAUACUGACUAUUUGCCAGAGGACAGGACGACCGAUUGCACAGCCCAGUCAGACUAUAUUCAUUUCUGCAAAAGCCCUGAGUCUUGGUUCUAGGAUGCAAGGAGAAUAAUGUUUACAACCAAGGGGGCAACUAAAUGCAGGUCAGUCUAGGCUGCAAUAUACUCACCUUAUUUUGAAAGAACAAAACUGUCUGUUUCCCAGUGUAUUCCAGAUAACCUGCAAGACAAAGUAAAAGCCCUUUUGCUCUGGCCUCA
Phodopus roborovskii (desert hamster) is the source of this 341-nucleotide long non-coding RNA. RefSeq lists it as uncharacterized. Lineage: Eukaryota; Metazoa; Chordata; Mammalia; Rodentia; Cricetidae. The record is from RefSeq and is a predicted model, not a curated record. The transcript is spliced from 2 exons.